GAUGAACGCUGGCGGCGUGCCUAAUACAUGCAAGUCGAGCGAACAGAUAAGGAGCUUGCUCCUUUGACGUUAGCGGCGGACGGGUGAGUAACACGUGGAUAACCUACCUAUAAGACUGGGAUAACUUCGGGAAACCGGAGCUAAUACCGGAUAACAUAUUGAACCGCAUGGUUCAAUAGUGAAAGGCGGCUUUGCUGUCACUUAUAGAUGGAUCCGCGCCGUAUUAGCUAGUUGGUAAGGUAACGGCUUACCAAGGCAACGAUACGUAGCCGACCUGAGAGGGUGAUCGGCCACCCUGGAACUGAGACACGGUCCAGACUCCUACGGGAGGCCGCAGUAGGGAAUCUUCCGCAAUGGGCGAAAGCCUGACGGAGCAACGCCGCGUGAGUGAUGAAGGUCUUCGGAUCGUAAAACUCUGUUAUCAGGGAAGAACAAAUGUGUAAGUAACUGUGCACAUCUUGACGGUACCUGAUCAGAAAGCCACGGCUAACUACGUG
Molecule: ribosomal RNA, 497 nt
Filed under: uncultured bacterium
Lineage: Bacteria
Description: partial 16S ribosomal RNA
Rfam family: Bacterial small subunit ribosomal RNA
Source: RNAcentral